Long non-coding RNA from Synchiropus splendidus (mandarinfish), 1173 nucleotides. RefSeq lists it as uncharacterized. The record is from RefSeq and is a predicted model, not a curated record. The transcript has 3 exons. Lineage: Eukaryota; Metazoa; Chordata; Actinopteri; Syngnathiformes; Callionymidae.
CGCGUGUCCCUCCUCUUCUAACUUUUCUGGCUGAGAGUUGCGACUGCUUGGUUACUGCUCGGUAUGUCUUCCCACGUUACCGAAAUGGACCGUGUGGCGCGCCGUCAAAACACUCCUGGUUGACCCAGUGUUGUAUUUUGCGAUGGGUUGACUCGUUUUCGAGAUUCUCUUGGGAGUUGGAUGGAGUUUGACUCUGCACCCUGACGUGACGUCAGGAGCUCGGAUCCGGCGAGGUCACGUGCCACCGCUGCAGGUGCUGUCGGUGUCCUCCAGGGGAACCUUCUGUCCUCCAGACUGGGAGGGAGAUGGCAUGAACGAACAGCAUUUUGAAGAAUAUUUUUUGGAUAUUUUAUCAGUUUGAUACGUUUCUCUACAAUAAAAACUAUUCCCCUUAUUUUCGCCAUCAUAAGCAGUAUUUAAAAGAUUUCUCAAGUUAUUUUUGGACACUUCAGGUUUUAAUUUGUGUGCGUUGUCUGGAGUUCACUUGAAAUGUUUUGAGUCGCCGAACAAUAUUGUGCUCUAACCAAAACCGCCAGUAGAUGGCGACAUAAAGACGUGACUCAAAAUGAGUCUGCGGAUGACGUAGGUUGCUGCAGGUGCCAGACAAACUCUUUGAUGGAAAUGAGUUGCUCGGGUAGGUCAUGUCAACUGUAAAAGUCUUUCAUACUCUCGAGGCUGGAAUCCCACUCAAUUCGUGGUACUUGCCUUUAUAACCAAGAAAAGUUAUCUAGCUUGUGUAUAUUAUCGUUUCUUUUUGGAGAUAAGCUUUGAGUAAAACUACCGAUAAAUGUGUAAAUUUGUGUAAAAGCAUUUGUACUGCACUGUUUUGUGUUAAUUUAGUUAAAGUCUACCAGCUGCUUCUCAAGUGUGUAGCAUUUUAAAAGAUGUACUAAGUCUAAUGAAGAUGCAAUGUUAAGCUGCCUGCUCCUAAUGGUACAUUUUCUGGUGUUUUAAAAUUAAGUGUUGGACAGGAAAAAGUAGCCAAUGGAGUGCGAGGUGAUGAUGGAAGCGGCUGUGGGUCAGAAGAUGAGUUGUUCAAGGUGCCGUCGCAGUGGAAACUGCGACCAUGUCGAUGAAUGUUAUCAAUGAAAAUGAGUGAGCCAAGCACAGAGUCUUGUGGGACUCCAGGCAGGAAGAUAUAAAAGCAGGAUAAAACAAAAUCUAAAAUAAAAA